This 253-nucleotide ribosomal RNA is filed under the name uncultured bacterium. Its description in RNAcentral is "partial 16S ribosomal RNA". It matches the Rfam family "Bacterial small subunit ribosomal RNA", at positions 524 to 776 of the family's 1533-position model. The record is from RNAcentral.
UACGGGGGGAGCAAGCGUUGCCCGGAUUUAUUGGGCGUAAAGAGCGUGUAGGCGGCUAGGUAGGUCCGUUGUGAAAACUCGAGGCUCAACCUCGAGACGCCGAUGGAAACCAUCUAGCUAGAGUCCGGAAGAGGAGAGUGGAAUUCCUGGUGUAGCGGUGAAAUGCGCAGAUAUCAGGAAGAACACCCGUGGCUAAGGCGGCUCUCUAGUACGGUACUGACGCUGAGACGCGAAAGCGUGGGGAGCGAACAGG